GGAAGAGAAAGAAAAAUCGAUUUCCUGAGUAGCGGCGAGCGAAACGGAAAGAGCCCAAACCAAGAAGCUUGCUUCUUGGGGUUGUAGGACACUCUAUACGGAGUUACAAAAGAAAGUUAUAAAUGAAGCGGUCUGGAAAGGCCCGCCAAAGACGGUAACAGCCCGGUAGUUGAAAUGGCUUUCCCUCCAGAGUGGAUCCUGAGUACGGCGGAACACGUGAAAUUCCGUCGGAAUCCGGGAGGACCAUCUCCCAAGGCUAAAUACUCCCUAGUGACCGAUAGUGAACCAGUACCGUGAGGGAAAGGUGAAAAGCACCCCGGAAGGGGAGUGAAACAGUUCCUGAAACCGUGUGCCUACAAGUAGUUAGAGCCCGUUAAUGGGUGAUAGCGUGCCUUUUGUAGAAUGAACCGGCGAGUUACGAUUUGUUGCAAGGUUAAGCGGAAAAAGCGGAGCCGUAGCGAAAGCGAGUCUGAAUAGGGCGCAUAAGUAACAGGUCGUAGACCCGAAACCAGGUGAUCUACCCAUGUCCAGGAUGAAGGUAAGGUAAUACUUACUGGAGGUCCGAACCCACGCACGUUGAAAAGUGCGGGGAUGAGGUGUGGGUAGCGGAGAAAUUCCAAUCGAACUUGGAGAUAGCUGGUUCUCUCCGAAAUAGCUUUAGGGCUAGCCUCGAGGUAAAGAGUCAUGGAGGUAGAGCACUGUUUGGACUAGGGGCCCUUCUCGGGUUACCGAAUUCAGAUAAACUCCGAAUGCCAUGUACUUAUACUCGGGAGUCAGACUGCGAGUGAUAAGAUCCGUAGUCGAAAGGGAAACAGCCCAGACCACCAGUUAAGGUCCCCAAAUAUAUGUUAAGUGGAAAAGGAUGUGGGGUUGCUUAGACAACCAGGAUGUUGGCUUAGAAGCAGCCACCAUUGAAAGAGUGCGUAAUAGCUCACUGGUCGAGUGACCCCGCGCCGAAAAUGUACCGGGGCUAAACAUAUUACC
RNAcentral lists this ribosomal RNA (984 nucleotides) under Listeria monocytogenes. RNAcentral's name for it is "partial 23S ribosomal RNA". It matches the Rfam family "Bacterial large subunit ribosomal RNA", at positions 215 to 1195 of the family's 2925-position model. Lineage: Bacteria; Bacillati; Bacillota; Bacilli; Caryophanales; Listeriaceae. The record is from RNAcentral.